GUAGGGGGCAAGCGUUAUCCGGAUUUACUGGGUGUAAAGGGAGCGUAGACGGCUGUGCAAGUCUGAAGUGAAUGGCAUGGGCUCAACCCCGGUACUGCAUUGGAAACUGGUCAUCUAGAGUGUCGGAGGGGUAAGUGGAAUUCCUAGUGUAGCGGUGAAAUGCGUAGGUAUUAGGAGGAACACCAGUGGCGAAGGCGGCUUACUGGACGAUAACUGACGCUGAGGCUCGAAAGCGUGGGGAGCAAACAGGAUUAGAUACCCUGGUAGUCCACGCCGUAAACGAUGACUGCUAGGUGUCGGGUAGCAAAGCUAUUCGGUGCCGCAGCUAACGCAAUAAGCAGUCCGCCUGGGGAGUACGUUCGCAAGAAUGAAACUCAA
Molecule: ribosomal RNA, 378 nt
Filed under: uncultured bacterium
Lineage: Bacteria
Description: bacterial SSU rRNA
Rfam family: Bacterial small subunit ribosomal RNA
Source: RNAcentral